Molecule: long non-coding RNA, 317 nt
Organism: Leopardus geoffroyi (Geoffroy's cat)
Lineage: Eukaryota; Metazoa; Chordata; Mammalia; Carnivora; Felidae
Exons: 2
Source: RefSeq, a predicted model, not a curated record
CGGGUUGAACCGAAAGCUCCGCGCCCGCUGAGUGCGGUUUGAGUUUUGUGGUGCCGCGCAGCCGUAGGAUUUUGGCUUAGUAACUGCAAUGUGAGGGCGCGUCGGUAGGCACUUCAGGGCUGUUUUUAUAUGUGGCAUAUGAAGAUGAUGGAGAGUGUCCACACUUCAGGAACCAGACUGCUUCCAUGUGCAGCCAAAUGGCACCAAGCUCCAUGAGGACAGAAGCUCGUUUGUGUGGGACCUUGCCGUCUGUAUCCCUUCGUCCGGCUGUUGGUUCAUAUUCUUUAUCAUAACCUUCAGUAAAGUGGUAAACGUGA